This is a ribosomal RNA of 207 nucleotides. It matches the Rfam family "Bacterial small subunit ribosomal RNA", at positions 568 to 774 of the family's 1533-position model.
CGUGCAGGCGGGCUGACAAGUCGGAUGUGAAAUUCCCGGGCUUAACUCGGGCGGGUCAUCUGAAACUGUUGGUCUUGAGUACUGGAGAGGAUAGUGGAAUUCCUAGUGUAGCGGUAAAAUGCGUAGAUAUUAGGAGGAACACCAGUGGCGAAGGCGGCUAUCUGGACAGUAACUGACGCUGAGGCGCGAAAGCGUGGGGAGCAAACA